Molecule: ribosomal RNA, 497 nt
Filed under: uncultured bacterium
Lineage: Bacteria
Description: partial 16S ribosomal RNA
Rfam family: Bacterial small subunit ribosomal RNA
Source: RNAcentral
GAUGAACGCUGGCGGCGUGCCUAAUACAUGCAAGUCGAACGAACAGGUGAGGAGCUUGCUCCUCUGACGUGUGCGGCGGGCGUGUGAGUAACACGUGUAUAACCUACUUAUAAUACUGGUAUAACUACGGGAAACCGGAGCUUAUACCGUAUAAUAUAUUGAUCCGCAGUGUUCAAUAGUGAAAUACGGUGUUUCGGUCACGUAUAGAUGGAUCCGCGCCGCAUUAGCUAGUUGGUGAGGUAACGGCUUACCAAGGCAACGAUGCGUAGCCGACCUGAGAGGGUGAUAGGCGACACGGGAACUGAGACACGGUCCAGGCUCCUAAGGGAGGCAGCAGUAGGGAAUGUUACGCAAUGGGCGAAAGCAUGACGGAGCAACGCCGAGCGAGUGACGAAGGUCUUCGGAGCGGAAAAAUCGGUUUCUAGGGAAGAACAACUGUGUAAGUAAAUAUGGACGGAGUGACGGUAACUGAUAAGAAAGCAACGGCUAACUACGUG